AGGAUAGUAGUUAAACAUAACAUUUGAAUUGCAAUCAAAAAGUAUUGACCACCAAUCUAUCUUA
Molecule: transfer RNA, 64 nt
Filed under: Polyphaga aegyptiaca
Lineage: Eukaryota; Metazoa; Arthropoda; Insecta; Blattodea; Corydiidae
Description: tRNA-Ala
Rfam family: tRNA
About the family: Transfer RNA (tRNA) molecules are approximately 80 nucleotides in length. Their secondary structure includes four short double-helical elements and three loops (D, anti-codon, and T loops). Further hydrogen bonds mediate the characteristic L-shaped molecular structure. tRNAs have two regions of fundamental functional importance: the anti-codon, which is responsible for specific mRNA codon recognition, and the 3' end, to which the tRNAs corresponding amino acid is attached (by aminoacyl-tRNA synthetases). tRNAs cope with the degeneracy of the genetic code in two manners: having more than one tRNA (with a specific anti-codon) for a particular amino acid; and 'wobble' base-pairing, i.e. permitting non-standard base-pairing at the 3rd anti-codon position.
Source: RNAcentral